Molecule: non-coding RNA, 116 nt
Organism: Heterocephalus glaber (naked mole-rat)
Lineage: Eukaryota; Metazoa; Chordata; Mammalia; Rodentia; Bathyergidae
Source: Rfam
GUCUACAGCCAUAGCACCCUGAACGCGCCCGACCUCGUCUGAUGUCGGAAGCUAAGCAGGGUCGGGCCUGGUUAGUGCUUGGAUGGGGGACGUGUGUAAACAGUGUGGAGCUGACU